GGAUCAAUUUGCUGGUCGUGCCUUUGGUACGUACUGGUAUUAUUGGUUUCUCCUUUCUGAAGAACUACGAUGUCAUUAAUUUGAUGUCGUGGGGAAUCAGGACUGUUACUUUGAAAAAAUUAGAGUGUUUAAAGCAGGCUUACGCUUGAAUACAUUAGCAUGGCAUAAUGAAAUAGGACGGACUGAUUCUAUUUCGUUGGUUUCUAGGAUCGACGUA
This 217-nucleotide ribosomal RNA is filed under the name Campeiostachys nutans. RNAcentral's name for it is "Elymus nutans partial small subunit ribosomal RNA". The stretch from base 38 to 217 matches the Rfam family "Eukaryotic small subunit ribosomal RNA", at positions 684 to 864 of the family's 1831-position model. The record is from RNAcentral. Lineage: Eukaryota; Viridiplantae; Streptophyta; Magnoliopsida; Poales; Poaceae.